Long non-coding RNA from Lycium barbarum (goji berry), 746 nucleotides. RefSeq lists it as uncharacterized. The transcript has 3 exons. The record is from RefSeq and is a predicted model, not a curated record. NCBI's taxonomy places the organism in Eukaryota, Viridiplantae, Streptophyta, Magnoliopsida, Solanales, Solanaceae.
UAAACGUAUCCAUCUUCCGCCCACUUUCAUUUCAUUGUUUUGUAUCAAAUAAUAACCUAACUAAACGUAUCCAUCUUCCGCCCACUUUCCAUUCUUCCAUCUUCACUCUUCAGUUCUUCACACAUCUGAUCUAAGAUUGGCUUAGGAAAGAGACUAAAUCUAUUAGUGUGGAAGAAAGUUUGGAUCAUCUUGAGGAACUUGAACUUGACAUGGCAAAUAGUGGAAGAGAUCCUUGCAUUGUUGAUGUAUGAUUGCAAUUUGCUUCUUUGUUACUAGUGUUCAACCAUGCCUUCUAGAGCUCGCUCACAAGUUUGGGAACAUUUUGUGAUGGUUCAAGACAAUGAAGAAGGGCGUAAAGCUAGGUGCUUAACAUGCAGUGCGAUACUUAAUUGUAAUAGAGCAAAUGACACAUCUAGCUUAAUGAAGCAUAUUAAGAGAUGUCUUGAAGAUAGGCGGAUUCACCUUCAACUUUAAGCUUAUGUUUUGAAUUUGGUAAAUUUCGGACUUAAUUAUGAUUGUUAUGUGAGACGACGGAUUUAACACUUGGUGUUACAACUUAUGUUUUGUAUUUGGAGCUAAAAUUUAGGACAUUUAUGCUGUUUGGUUGUUUGGCUGCUGCUCAUUUUAUCGUUAUGUUGUUUGUGUUACUCGUUUUUGUCUUGUACGUUGUUUGUUGCUGGUCACCGUAAAGACUUCAGGUUCACAUUAUGUUACUGCUGAACUGCUGAAAAAUACUGCUGCUGAAA